RNAcentral lists this ribosomal RNA (302 nucleotides) under uncultured bacterium. Its description in RNAcentral is "bacterial SSU rRNA". It matches the Rfam family "Bacterial small subunit ribosomal RNA", at positions 26 to 356 of the family's 1533-position model. The record is from RNAcentral.
AGAACGAACGCUGGCGGCAUGCCUAAUACAUGCAAGUCGAACGAACACUUCGGUGUUAGUGGCGCACGGGUGCGUAACGCGUGGGAAUCAGCCCUUGGGUUCGGAAUAACUUCGAGAAACUGAAGCUAAUACCGGAUGAUGACGUAAGUCCAAAGAUUUAUCGCCCAGGGAUGAGCCCGCGUAGGAUUAGCUAGUUGGUGGGGUAAAGGCUCACCAAGGCGACGAUCCUUAGCUGGUCUGAGAGGAUGAUCAGCCACACUGGGACUGAGACACGGCCCAGACUCCUACGGGAGGCAGCAGUA